Molecule: ribosomal RNA, 466 nt
Filed under: uncultured bacterium
Lineage: Bacteria
Description: partial 16S ribosomal RNA
Rfam family: Bacterial small subunit ribosomal RNA
Source: RNAcentral
GACGAACGCUGGCGGCGUGCUUAACACAUGCAAGUCGAACGGAAAGGCCCUGCUUUUGUGGGGUGCUCGAGUGGCGAACGGGUGAGUAACACGUGAGUAACCUGCCCUUGACUUUGGGAUAACUUCAGGAAACUGGGGCUAAUACCGGAUAGGAGCACCUGCUGCAUGGUGGGGGUUGGAAAGUUUCGGCGGUUGGGGAUGGACUCGCGGCUUAUCAGCUUGUUGGUGGGGUAGUGGCUUACCAAGGCUUUGACGGGUAGCCGGCCUGAGAGGGUGACCGGCCACAUUGGGACUGAGAUACGGCCCAGACUCCUACGGGAGGCAGCAGUGGGGAAUAUUGCACAAUGGGCGGAAGCCUGAUGCAGCAACGCCGCGUGCGGGAUGACGGCCUUCGGGUUGUAAACCGCUUUCGCCUGUGACGAAGCGUGAGUGACGGUAAUGGGUAAAGAAGCACCGGCUAACUACG